GCGCCUUUAGCUCAGCUGGAUAGAGCAUACGCCUUCUAAGCGUACGGUCAGAGGUUCGAAACCUCUAAGGCGCG
This 74-nucleotide transfer RNA is filed under the name Bacillus sp. OK048. It matches the Rfam family "tRNA". Rfam says of the family: Transfer RNA (tRNA) molecules are approximately 80 nucleotides in length. Their secondary structure includes four short double-helical elements and three loops (D, anti-codon, and T loops). Further hydrogen bonds mediate the characteristic L-shaped molecular structure. tRNAs have two regions of fundamental functional importance: the anti-codon, which is responsible for specific mRNA codon recognition, and the 3' end, to which the tRNAs corresponding amino acid is attached (by aminoacyl-tRNA synthetases). tRNAs cope with the degeneracy of the genetic code in two manners: having more than one tRNA (with a specific anti-codon) for a particular amino acid; and 'wobble' base-pairing, i.e. permitting non-standard base-pairing at the 3rd anti-codon position. Lineage: Bacteria; Bacillati; Bacillota; Bacilli; Caryophanales; Bacillaceae. The record is from Rfam by way of RNAcentral. RNAcentral also lists the same sequence under 1 other name.